CCCUAACUCAUUUGCUUCGUUCGGGUUUCAAUUGCUUCGUUCGAGUUUCAUUCACGUUUUCCUCUGAAACCCAUCUUCUAUUUCGCGAACCCUAAUCUCAUUCUCACUCAGCCAGCCAUGGAUUGAAGACACUCAUGGAUUGAAACCUCCUUCUCAUCUCGCGAUUUACCUUUUCUUCCCCACGAGAUUUGGAUCGAAGAACGAAGGUGCGUCUUCCCCCGCUCAGUCAUGGACAACAAACAUUGAUCUCGUUCAGCUUGAUCUUCGUGUAAAUCAUAUGCGGGGGAAGGACCAUUUCCGUUCCUAUGGGUAAGGUUGACAUACUGGUGUUACCUCAUGAGAUUGAAACAGUUAUCUGCUGAUUUGCUGCACUUUUGUUUGUUGUUUCAGCUUGUCUGUGUCUAAUAUAAUUGUAUUCUAGCUUGGACUUGAACAACUUUGAGAGUGAUCCUGAAGAGUUUGCUAGAAUCUUCUGCAAAGACAUGGGUAUUGAGGAUCCUGAGGUUGGGAUUGCUAUUCAAAGUGUGGUUUCUGCAAGAGAAAGAAGAUUAAGCAAGAAGGGUCGUCGAGGGGGUGACUAUACUCCAAUCAGUACAUGAGGUGUUGUGGCAGUGGACUUGGUCAAGUUAUUUGGUCAGAAAUCUAUGUAGCUUUGAUACUUUCCUGGUAGAUCUAUUUUUAAGCCUGAUCUUAUAUGAUAACCAGUUUCAUUGUUACUUGCUUUAAUUUAUUGUUUUACAUGAUUGGUAGCAUGUUUUGGCUUGAUGUUGGAUAAUUGCUUUUAAAAGUCAGAGGCAGAAGAUUGGAAUAGCUUUGAGAGUAGUAAGCUUCUCCGAUUGCUGCUACCAGUGAGAGGUGUUCAGUAUUCCUUAUUGUUCAAUGAUAUAUGUGGAUUUUGGAUUGAGCUAAAUCAUCAUCUUUCAAUGCAGUGGAAACUGAAAAGGAAAGCGAUUGAAGUAAUGUUUACUAUGAUUUAUCUCAACUGGGAUAUAACAUAACUAGCACUAGGGCUUGUAAUUUCAUAUCUUUAUCUCAAUAGCAUGUAUAGAGCAACUUACCUAGUGUGGUUAUAGUCUCUCUUCCUUUUAUCUUGAUAAAAUAACCAACUCCAUUGUUUUGACUCUUCUAUUUAUCAUAAUCUAAUUUGUUGAAAUUUCCUAUUGUGCUUUGAAACUUUGUAUAUCUGAAUGAAUAUUUCCAAAUGUUAAUAGGAGCAGUGUUGUUAUGUGAAAAUAUGCUGCAGGAGAACUCAAGCCUCCAUCAACUGGCAUGUGGUCCCCGUUGUGGUCUUGGUGAACUCAUUCUACCUGAAAACGAACCUGGAAUCAGUAUGCCUGGGAAGGUUAAUCCUACUCAGUGUGAUGCUUUGACAAUGGUCUGUAGUCAUUUUGAGCUCAAUGUGUUCAAGCC
Long non-coding RNA from Lotus japonicus, 1410 nucleotides. RefSeq lists it as uncharacterized. Lineage: Eukaryota; Viridiplantae; Streptophyta; Magnoliopsida; Fabales; Fabaceae. The transcript is spliced from 6 exons. The record is from RefSeq and is a predicted model, not a curated record.